GACGAACGCUGGCGGCGUGCUUAACACAUGCAAGUCGAGCGGUAAGGCCCUUUCGGGGGUACACGAGCGGCGAACGGGUGAGUAACACGUGGGUGACCUGCCCUCAGCUCUGGGAUAAGCCUGGGAAACCGGGUCUAAUACUGGAUAUGACUCCAUGACGCAUGUUGUGGGGUGAAAGCCUUGUGCGGCUGAGGAUGGGCCCGCGGCCUAUCAGCUUGUUGGUGGGGUGANGGCCUACCAAGGCGACGACGGGUAGCCGGCCUGAGAGGGCGACCGGCCACACUGGGACUGAGACACGGCCCAGACUCCUACGGGAGGCAGCAGUGGGGAAUCUUGCGCAAUGGGCGAAAGCCUGACGCAGCGACGCCGCGUGACGGAUGACGGCCU
Molecule: ribosomal RNA, 387 nt
Filed under: uncultured bacterium
Lineage: Bacteria
Description: bacterial SSU rRNA
Rfam family: Bacterial small subunit ribosomal RNA
Source: RNAcentral